RNAcentral lists this ribosomal RNA (481 nucleotides) under uncultured bacterium. Its description in RNAcentral is "partial 16S ribosomal RNA". It matches the Rfam family "Bacterial small subunit ribosomal RNA", at positions 28 to 507 of the family's 1533-position model. The record is from RNAcentral.
GACGAACGCUGGCGGCGUGCUUAACACAUGCGAGUCGAACGGGAUCCGGGCUUUCGGGUUUGGUGAGAGUGGCGAACGGGUGAGUAACACGUGAGUAACCUGCCCCCUUCUUUGGGAUAACGUCGGGAAAUCGGCGCUAAUACUGGAUAUUCUUGCUGCAUCGCAUGGUGUGGUUUGGAAAGGGUUUCUGGUGGGGGAUGGGCUCGCGGCCUAUCAGCUUGUUGGUGGGGUGAUGGCCUACCAAGGCUUUGACGGGUAGCCGGCCUGAGAGGGUGUCCGGCCACACUGGGACUGAGACACGGCCCAGACUCCUACGGGAGGCAGCAGUGGGGAAUAUUGCACAAUGGGCGCAAGCCUGAUGCAGCGACGCCGCGUGAGGGAUGACGGCCUUCGGGUUGUAAACCUCUUUCAGUAUGGAACAAGGAUCCUUCUUUUGGGGGGUUUGAGGGUACGUGCAGAAGAAGCGCCGGCUAACUACGUG